Molecule: long non-coding RNA, 2031 nt
Organism: Macaca fascicularis (crab-eating macaque)
Lineage: Eukaryota; Metazoa; Chordata; Mammalia; Primates; Cercopithecidae
Source: Ensembl
UCCAGCGCCCUUCUGCUGCUAUUCCCCAACCCCCCUUCCACACCAACAGCCCCUGGGACUUAGGGCUCACAAUAGGACUCAGACUCCAAAGCAUUUCAGACCUGGCAAAUGCCCAGGUCACCAGUUGCAACCCCACUGUUUUACAAAAGAAGAUACUGAAGCUAUUCGUUCAUUCCACAAAUAUUUAUGGAGCUACCAUUAUGUGAUGGUGUACCUGGCAUCACUCAGGAGCUAGGGAUGCACUGGGGAGGUCCUGCCCUCAUAAAUGGAACAGGUCAUUGAGGAAGACAGACAUAAAAUAAAUAGCCACAGAAUUAAAGAUACAGCUUUAAAUGGUGCAACGUUGGAAAGGGAAAAGUUUAUGAAUGAAUUUAUGGCUGGCAGGAAGGAGGGCUCCUCUCUGAAGACAUGACCUUAAGACUGGAAACUGAAGGUUGAAUAUAAAUUGGCCAGAAAAAGAAAUGAAGGUGGGAGAAACAUUCCAGACAGAGGAAACAGUAUGUGAGAAGGCCCUGAUGUCCACAGCCUAUGAACAGAGGGCCCUGUCAACAACAGGGCUCCAGGGCUCUGUCUCACCUCAUGGGGAGAAGAGCCUGUAAGGCACACAUCUGUUCCCUGGUGGGCCCCUCCCUCCCUCAUCUCCCUCAUCUCUAAAUGAAAGCCUCCCUAAGGGAAGGCAAUAUUGCUUGCUCUUACUUUAAUCAGUUUGAACAUAUGUAUUUUAUCCCUCAACUUCAUAAUAUUAUGAGUUCUUCCUUCUUCCUUUAGAUAGCAACCCAGAGAAUUUCACUGUUGCCCAAAUUUGACAGAAUAGCAAACCAAGAAGGUUGAUCAAGUAUCCUUGGCUUCACUGAAACUAGCAUCUAAACCAAGACUCCCUGUGCUUUUAAAUAACAACACACCUUUAACUUCCUUAAACACCAGAGGGCUAUACAUCAUGAAGCUCCAUGAAAGCUCCACAGCAUGAAUCAAGCAUAAGAGUCCUUUCACAUGUCACCUUUGCCUUACUAUAUGAACACCACACUGUUACCCACAUGCGUGGUUCAGUAUUAGGGUGGUGUGCCCAAAGUUCACUUGGACAGCUAAGUGCCGGCUCAGGGUCAGUUGGCCACAAUACCAGAAGAUGCACCCCUGAAACAUGAACCUCAUCACCUGUGUGUAAAAAGACUAAGAGAAGAAAGGCAAGUAAGAAUGGAGUUAAGGGAUAUUCUUGCCUUUCAGGGAAAGUCAAUAAUGAAAAUUCCAGAUUUGGGAUCCAAAUUGGUGAUAAAUGAAUAUUGGUGAUAAAUGAAAUGAUUGUGGGUAUUCAGUAAGGAAAAUUGACUAAUUCAUAAUAAUGAGCAGUGGUGUUGGUACCACAAACACACACACAUCAGCCAUGAUUCCUCUUUCCCUCAGCAGUCACAGAAUUACCACGAUUGGAUGAUAGAUAGUACCUGUCAGUGCUCUUGUGGGCGGUGCAAUGGACAAAAGCAGAGACUUGUGGCUAAUGGAUUACUGUCAGCCUGGAGGUAGAUCUCUGCAAAACCUACACAAGGCUAUGGUGGUGUGGGGAAACAGACACUACCUAAGCUGAGUCUGUUAUUCAUGUAUAAAGUUGGGGGGAUAAUAGUGCCCUCCUCACAGGGUUCUCGUGAAGGUCAAAUGGAGUGAUCUAUGCAAAAGUUCCUAAUACUCAUUGCCCAAUACAUGUGGAUAUUUGGGGCAUGGGUGUUAAUGAAGGAUUUGAAUAAAAAUGCUGGGCCAGGGGUAAUCCCAACACUUUGGAAGGCCAAGGUGGGUGGAGCCCUUGAGCCCAGGAGACCAAGGAGCCCUUCAAGACCAGCCUGGGCAACAUGGUGAAACCUUGUCUUUACCAAAUACAAAAAUUAGCCAAGCAUGGUGGUGCACACCUAUAGUACCAGCUAAUCAGGAGGCUGAGGUGGGAGAAUGGCUCGAGCCCAGGAGGUCAAGGCUGCAGUGAGCUGAGACCGUGCCACUGCACUCUAGCCUGGGUGACAGAGUGAGACCCUGUCUCAAAAAAAAAAAAAA